RNAcentral lists this transfer RNA (55 nucleotides) under Paucilactobacillus vaccinostercus DSM 20634. RNAcentral describes it as "Lactobacillus vaccinostercus DSM 20634 tRNA". It matches the Rfam family "tRNA", at positions 1 to 52 of the family's 71-position model. Rfam says of the family: Transfer RNA (tRNA) molecules are approximately 80 nucleotides in length. Their secondary structure includes four short double-helical elements and three loops (D, anti-codon, and T loops). Further hydrogen bonds mediate the characteristic L-shaped molecular structure. tRNAs have two regions of fundamental functional importance: the anti-codon, which is responsible for specific mRNA codon recognition, and the 3' end, to which the tRNAs corresponding amino acid is attached (by aminoacyl-tRNA synthetases). tRNAs cope with the degeneracy of the genetic code in two manners: having more than one tRNA (with a specific anti-codon) for a particular amino acid; and 'wobble' base-pairing, i.e. permitting non-standard base-pairing at the 3rd anti-codon position. Lineage: Bacteria; Bacillati; Bacillota; Bacilli; Lactobacillales; Lactobacillaceae. The record is from Rfam by way of RNAcentral.
GGGCCUAUAGCUCAGCUGGUUAGAGCGCACGCCUGAUAAGCGUGAGGUCGAUGGU